RNAcentral lists this microRNA precursor (61 nucleotides) under Caenorhabditis elegans. RNAcentral's name for it is "microRNA cel-mir-2953 precursor". Lineage: Eukaryota; Metazoa; Nematoda; Chromadorea; Rhabditida; Rhabditidae. The record is from miRBase by way of RNAcentral.
UACAGAAGUGUUCGUGAAAAUAAAUAUGUGUUUUUUUUAUGAUCACUAGCUCUUCUGUAGC